Molecule: RNA transcript, 2300 nt
Organism: Otolemur garnettii (small-eared galago)
Lineage: Eukaryota; Metazoa; Chordata; Mammalia; Primates; Galagidae
Gene: RSRP1
Gene name: arginine and serine rich protein 1
Exons: 4
Source: RefSeq, a predicted model, not a curated record
AGUUCGGGUCUGGACACGGAAGGAGAAGGUUGUCUUUUCGUUCUUGGAGCGUGGGCACUAAAAGUCUCUCUUUGUCCCAAACUUUGAGAGGAAGGCGUCCGUUGAACCUUCCUUUCCGUCUUUGGCGAGACGUCGGCAGCCUGCGUCUCUGGAAGGGCCUUUUUGAAGAACAAGAGGGCUGCUGCCGCGGGGGAAGAUGUCCAACUACGUGAACGACAUGUGGCCAGGCUCCCCUCAGGAGAAGGAUUCCCCCCUGUCGUCCCGGUCGGGCCAUUCCAGCCGCCUGUCGUCGCGGUCUCGGAGCCGCUCUUCCUCCAGAAGCUCCCGCUUUUACUCCCACAUCUCGAGUCGCUCUUCGUCCAGAAGCUCCAGCCGACCCCAGAGGAGGAGCAGGUCCCGCUCUCGUUCGAGAAGGCGCCACCAGCGCAAGUACAGGCGCUACUCCAGGUCUUACUCGCGGAGUCGGUCGCGGUCCCGCAGCCGCCGGUACCAUGAGAGGCGCUACGGGCCGUCCCGGAGGUAUCACCGGUCUCCCUCGCGGUACCGCUCGCGCAGCCGGUCUCGAUCCCGUUCCUGCUCCCAAGGGAGGUCGCACUACCGAAGGACCUAUACGGUCACGCGCGGGCGGCGCUACUACGGCUUUGGGCGCACAGUGUACCCCGAGGACGAACACCGAUGGAGGGAGCGAUCCAGGAGCAGGUCUCGGAGCAGAACCCCUUUUCGCUUAAGUGAAAAAGAUCGAAUGGAGCUAUUAGAAAUAGCGAAAGCCAAUGCAGCAAAAGCUUUAGGAACGACCAACAUUGAUUUGCCAGCUAGUCUCAGAAUCGUUUCCACAGCCAAAGAAACAAAUAGUGGAACAGCUGUGCCAAAUACUGGUGCUAAGUUGGAGGUAAGUAUUCCUGAUUUAUCUAGACAAAAAUUUGUUGUUUAUUGCCUGAAAGAUCUGGUUAGUCGUUUCUUACUUACUUUACACUUCUUGGGAAGUCUAGAUGUGUAUAAUUUGCUAAAAUCAAAAGAGCAGAUUGAUGAUGCCAGACAAGAUCACACCCCUGAAAAUGGGAGAUUAAUGAACUUUAUCAGUUGGCACCAUACUCUUUCAUUACACUGUUAAUAAUAUUGUAGCUGCUACUUUGAUUUCUAUAUGAAAUUCUAACUCUAGUCUUUUACGGAGUGUUUAGCUUUCUUUGCAGCAUUAUGUUCCCACAAAUUCUGUACUCAACAUACAGUAUAGUUUAUCUGCUUUAUUUCUGUCUUAUAGAAAUCAUGAAUGUGGUCUCCAGACAAUUGAUGAAGAAAAUCUGUUGGUAAUUGAUACAUGGGCUUAAAGUAUCAGAGGUUUAACUAAUUUGAAGUUUACAUUCACAUACUGAAAAAGUAGUUUUUGUUGUUAGAUACAUGUGCAUGCUAGAAUUUGGGACAGGUACUAUUUAUAUAAGGUACUGAAGACAGUUUUUAAUCUAAGCAAGGGUACACUUUGUAAUGGUGGGGCAUCUGUGCCAUAGAUGUCCCUUUCAUAAUAUAUGCAAUAUAUUCCAGAUGUUUUGAGAGAUUACAGAAGAGGAGGCCUGCUUCACUUGGCAGAUAAGUUUAUUAUAAUUCUCCAGAAAUGUGCAGGAUGUGCAUUGGCAAAUUGCACUGUACCUUCAAUUGUGUGAAACCGAAGCUUAAAUAAAUUCAUAGCUUUAAAGGUUUAAAGUAGUUAGAAAUUGAUAAAGAUCAGUAAAGAGAUCCAUCUUAAGUGAACCUAUCUUUGGGACCCAGAUGUAUGUUUGCUUAUAUUAGUAGACAAAUAAGAUCUUAGUAGAAUAGCUUGUUGAAGCUAUUAGGUACCCUAAUUAAGGCAGAUGCCUUAAUUACUUGAAAAUAAGGUAUUUUCUGGUAUGACUUCACUUUCAAAAGUUAACUUGAAUUCAAAGCAGGGGAAUAAAAUAAUUAUAGGAAAAGUGUCUUAAACCUGUUAAAUCAGUUUUGUUAAGGGGAAAAGAAAACUCAAGUUUGUGUUGUUUAGGCUGUUAACUACAUGGUUAGAGUGAACUUUAUUUGUAUGUCUACUACUAAAUUUAUAUAUAGUUGAGUUGCUUUUUAUGUGGUAGUUGGAAAUCAGGGAUAUGUAUUUUUAAAGUUACACUUUUCUCUUGUUUAGCUGUCAGAAAAGCUAACAGAAGGUGGAACUAGAAGUCCCAAUGAAAAAUCUCCCCAGCAAAGAAGCAUAGCUUUUAGUUCUAAUAAUUCUAUAGCAAAGCCAAUACAGAAAUCAGCUAAAGCUGGUGCUGAAGAGACAACUUCAAGGUCACCAAAAA